RNAcentral lists this long non-coding RNA (859 nucleotides) under Cicer arietinum (chickpea). Its description in RNAcentral is "long non-coding RNA (CARI_LNC002530)". Lineage: Eukaryota; Viridiplantae; Streptophyta; Magnoliopsida; Fabales; Fabaceae. The record is from RNAcentral.
UCUUACAAAAUUUAAACUUUAAAAGAAAAUCCUUGAUGUCAUUUUUUAUUUAAAAAUUAUGAUAUGUCUCAUAUUAGUAAUGUGACACACGAUGGUUGUAUAUCACUUAAUGAUUGGACUUUUAUUUAUUUUAAAAAUAAAAACUAUUUAUUAAGUGUUUUAAUUAAAUUAUUAAAAAAAUUAACCUUUAAUUUCAUUAAUUCAUUUAAUCACAAAUUAUGCCCCAUCAAUCUUAUCUUCAAUACCAAAUUACUACUAUUUCAUCAACCACAAAUUCCCAUAUUUAGAUCUAAACCAAACUCAUGUCUUCUUCUUUAGGAUUAGAUCCAAACUGAACGAAGUCAUUAAAAAAGUACAAUCAUAAGCAUCACUGGCUUCUGCACGUUCUCUGUCUCAAAAUCAUAGAUGGCAAAGUUCGAACUCUUCCAAUUCCUAGUUGCUAACAACCCUGCGUUCUAGGUCAUGUCCUCAGUCGAAUCCUUACUCCAACAACAACAAAUAUCGACUCCAACAAUGACACCGCCAAUCACGAGUUCAAAUAUGUGAUUUUUAGUGUUCAAAUAUAUGAUUAGGAUUUUCAACCUUCGAGUUCCUUAUAUCCCAAAUCACGAUGAUUGAACCCUAACCCCAAAUUGGUUUCACCUUUGUUCUCCUACUCUCUCUAGCGGCGGCGACACUUUUCUGACCAAUUCUUUGUGACAGGGACUGUGAAGAAGGAAGAAGAUGAUAGGGAUUUUGUUGGAAUGAAUUUUUUUUUUCGUUUUAUGGGUUUGGAAAAAUAGGACACUUUGAGUUAUUCUGAUAAAAAAAUUUGGACUGAAAUUUUUAUUUUUAUUUGUGAUUAAAGAUCGAUUAUUUU